GGAUAGAGCUAUCUGCACUCCAUGCAUCAGAAUGACAGUUUGACUUACUCCUUUUUUGUUUCACCCUCCUCUGGGAUUGUUCCAGGCCAGCUGUCAGAAGAGUUUUUGUCAGCGUGUGAAGCUAAUAUUACUUCAUGAGAGGAUAAGGACAAAAUGACCAAAGUGUGUGCGGCUUUUUAAACUUAAUGAUACAAUUUUAAUACCUUUGUAAUGCCAUGUAACUAGGAUAAGUGAAAAAAAUAAAUAUCGAUUCAAAAUAAAACAAAAGGGUAAAUUAGAGGCAGAUUAAUGUUCUGUGGCAUUAAAAGUUGCUAUUUUAAGCAGAGUGGAUGGAGGUGGAGCAGCGGCCAAACUACCUGAUGGCAUUUUGCUAAACAUUGAUUAAUUGACAAACGUGUUUAGAAUUGCUAAUGAGAGUGCAGCAAAAUGCAAAGUCCUGCCUGAGAGCGAGCACGCUCAUUUUGCGCUGCUUUUCUCAGCACUCUCCAAAACUAGAAAGCCUCCAGAAUAAUUGCUGGAUGCGUCACUUCAUGCUCGUAAUUUUAGAAACAACUCCCCCAUCCCCCGUGCCUGCUAAUGCACGUCCACAAAUGGCAGCGGUCCGUCGACCCCCCACCCGCCUUCCCUUCAAGAAGGAAAAAAACAAAAAACAAAACAAAAACAAAAAACAAAAAAAACAGGGUCCCUAUUUUCUGUGACUACAGGCUGGCUUUAGGUCAUUGUGUCCACUAAUAUAUCAAAGAACAGCUGUCCUAAGGCUCUGUGAUGACCAAUCACCCCUUCCAUCUGUCUCACCCACCCAAUCUCUCUCUCGCUCCAUCUCCUCCUCUUCAGCUCUGUCUUUUCCCUCCAAUCUCCUAUCUGUGUUUCUCCGCUUCUCCACCUCCCUUAUUCCCCCACAUUCCCACUGAGCAUCUUGCAUCCCCCCCUCUUUUCUAUCCAAAUCCCUUGGUCCCUCUGUGCUCUGAGCUUAUACUCGCGGCACAUGGACAGCUUUGGGAUUUGUUGUUUUCUGUUGGUACACACACACAAAUUAGAGAAAGCUCGAGUGACAUUCCACAGCCUCUCUUCUUUCUAGCAGAGCGUUUUCUGGACAUUAGACUACAAACACCU
This is a long non-coding RNA of Astatotilapia calliptera (eastern happy), 1113 nucleotides long. NCBI's taxonomy places the organism in Eukaryota, Metazoa, Chordata, Actinopteri, Cichliformes, Cichlidae. The record is from Ensembl.